GCGACCCCAGGAUGGGCGAGACCA
Molecule: ribosomal RNA, 24 nt
Filed under: Trichoglottis seidenfadenii
Lineage: Eukaryota; Viridiplantae; Streptophyta; Magnoliopsida; Asparagales; Orchidaceae
Description: partial 26S ribosomal RNA
Source: RNAcentral